UGGCAUGUAGCUCAAUUGGCAGAGCACUAGAUUGUUAAUCUGGGGGAUGCAGGUUCGACCCCUGCGAUGUCAG
RNAcentral lists this transfer RNA (73 nucleotides) under Mycolicibacterium sphagni. Its description in RNAcentral is "tRNA-Asn". It matches the Rfam family "tRNA". From Rfam's summary of the family: Transfer RNA (tRNA) molecules are approximately 80 nucleotides in length. Their secondary structure includes four short double-helical elements and three loops (D, anti-codon, and T loops). Lineage: Bacteria; Bacillati; Actinomycetota; Actinomycetes; Mycobacteriales; Mycobacteriaceae. The record is from RNAcentral.